AAGACCUUGCGCUUUUGGAGCGGCCGAUGCCUGAUUAGCUUGUUGGUAAGGUAAAAGCUUACCAAGGCUUCGAUCAGUAGCUGGUCUGAGAGGACGACCAGCCACACUGGGACUGAGACACGGCCCAGACUCCUACGGGAGGCAGCAGUGGGGAAUUUUGGACAAUGGGGGCAACCCUGAUCCAGCCAUGCCGCGUGAGUGAAGAAGGCCUUCGGGUUGUAAAGCUCUUUCAGCCGGAACGAAACGGUUACGGUUAAUACCCGUGACUACUGACGGUACCGGAAGAAGAAGCACCGGCUAACUACGUGCCAGCAGCCGCGGUAAUACGUAGGGUGCAAGCGUUAAUCGGAAUUACUGGGCGUAAAGCGUGCGCAGGUGGUUUUGUAAGUCAGAUGUGAAAUCCUCGGGCUUAACCUGGGAACU
RNAcentral lists this ribosomal RNA (423 nucleotides) under uncultured bacterium. RNAcentral describes it as "bacterial SSU rRNA". It matches the Rfam family "Bacterial small subunit ribosomal RNA", at positions 207 to 622 of the family's 1533-position model. The record is from RNAcentral.